RNAcentral lists this unclassified non-coding RNA (395 nucleotides) under soil metagenome. RNAcentral's name for it is "partial contains 5.8S ribosomal RNA, internal transcribed spacer 2, and large subunit ribosomal RNA". The stretch from base 1 to 122 matches the Rfam family "5.8S ribosomal RNA", at positions 35 to 154 of the family's 154-position model. The record is from RNAcentral.
GAUGAAGAACGCAGCGAAAUGCGAUACUUGGUGUGAAUUGCAGAAUCCCGUGAACCAUCGAGUCUUUGAACGCAAGUUGCGCCCGAAGCCAUCAGGUUGAGGGCACGUCUGCCUGGGCGUCACAUAUCGUUGCCCAAUGCCUAUUGCAGUGCAAUAGGAAUUUCUAGGGCGAAUGAUGGCUUCCCGUGAGCGUUGUUGCCUCGCGGUUGGUUGAAAAUCGAGUCCUUGGUAGGCUGUGCCAUGGUAGAUGGUGGUCGAGUUAGAACGAUACCGAUCAUGUGCAUGCUCCCCAAAAUAUGGCCUCUAUGACCCACACGCGUCUUUUGACGCUCAUGACGAGACCUCAGGUCAGGCGGGGCUACCCGCUGAAUUUAAGCAUAUCAAUAAGCGGAGGA